CCACCAACUUGAUUGGUUAAGGCUCCCAGUAGACGACUGGGUUGAUAGGCCAGAUGUGGAAGCCCGGUAACGGGUGGAGCUGACUGGUACUAAUAGGCCGAGGGCUUGUCCU
RNAcentral lists this ribosomal RNA (112 nucleotides) under Streptomyces sp. KhCrAH-43. Its description in RNAcentral is "partial 23S ribosomal RNA". It matches the Rfam family "Bacterial large subunit ribosomal RNA", at positions 2814 to 2925 of the family's 2925-position model. Lineage: Bacteria; Bacillati; Actinomycetota; Actinomycetes; Kitasatosporales; Streptomycetaceae. The record is from RNAcentral.